Chiloscyllium plagiosum (whitespotted bambooshark) is the source of this 921-nucleotide non-coding RNA. The record is from RefSeq and is a predicted model, not a curated record. NCBI's taxonomy places the organism in Eukaryota, Metazoa, Chordata, Chondrichthyes, Orectolobiformes, Hemiscylliidae.
UCGGUGUCAAUCACAGAGACACGCCUCCUUUCCGGUAGUGCCGCUUCCCGUUCGGCUUCUUCCCGCUUCAUUUCGAAGUUUGCCGUUGAACCGGGAGAUGAUACCGUCUCGAGCCGCGGAGUGGCUUGCUCAGGGUUAACGGGCUUGCUGCAGUGUGCGGCGAGGCUGAGGUUGAGGUGAUUGACGGGACCCUGUGAGUGUGAGAAACCGGGGCAGUGUUCCGAUGAGGCUACUUCCAUACAGCAAGUAAUCUUCCAUAGUUCCUGCAACUGACACAUUUUGCCUCCUUUCUUGAUGGUGGCGAAGGCAGCACCACGAUGAUUGGUAGGGGUAUCUUCUUUGUCCCAGAUUUUCAGGAACGGUUGAUGGAGAUGACAGCGCACAAUUAAUCUGGCCUUACAAGAACCUUGCACAAAUACUUUGACACCCAGGAGCAUUUGGAUCUGCGCCAAAGUUCAUUUGCCAAAAAUUAUUUACAUUCUGCUGUCUUGUUCUAACGUGGAAGCAGUCCAACUUUCUGUAGAAGAGGCAAGGAUGCCCUGGUGAAUUCAUUGGUGAAUACAUUGGUGAAAUCGAGCAAAGGCUAUAGCAACGGAUGAAUGGGCACUACACAACAAUCAACACUUCAGCGUUCCAGGACAUUCGACUUUCGACCUUCAGGUGACCAUCCUCCAGGGCGGACUUCGGGGCAGGUGAAAAUUGAUUUGAGGAGUUUUAACUACAGUAUGUAACUUUGAAAAUCUGCAUACAAACCAUACCAUGAAUAACUCCAGCGCAAGCUGUGGGAGCCCAGGCACCGGAAGUACAGCGGAGGCUGCCAUUGAUGCAUUUAAGGAGAUUUGGACUAAACUGAAAGAAUGUCAUGACAACGAAGUACAAGGUAAAUGAUCAUUGUUUAUUACCUUUUAAAUUGCACGUAAA